GCUGUCAUUUUGAACUGUGACUAAUGUCAGCUGACCAGAUCUCCUCCUCCAAAGCAGGGAAAUCUUUGAACAGAAUUGAUCAUUGAAAAGCUCAGACUCAUAAAAGCGAUUUCCAAGUGGUGCUGGGACAGAAGUGCAGAAGUGUGGCCACUCUGUGUGGUUUGGGCAGUGUGUUAACCCAGCCAGAAGUGAAUUAGAUGGAGCCUCAGUGACAGAAAAAAAACCCUACAGUGAUGUGCAGAGUCAGUUCUUCAUCCACUAUAUGUAUUUUCAUAUGUACUUGCUUUGGCAUGCGUCCUGAGGUGCUCAGAAUGGGUAAUCUGCUUUCUCCAUAGAAAUCCACAGCUGUAGAAACUUGGCUAUGACUUCGUCCUCCCUGUCCCAUAUCCAGCUGUCAGUACUGCAUCUAUGUUUCUGCUUUGAUUUCAAGAAUUUCAGAAGGAAUGUGUGGAUUGCUCGUUGUGUAGUUGGAUUUUGAAGUAAGAACAUGUAUAAUUCUUUUUAUAUUUCUUUCAAAAAAAAUAUUUCAGAUUCAUUCAGGUUCUUUGUGGCAGCCAUAUAAAAUUUAUAUCAGAUACAGCAGGCAUAUUUCUGUGCAGAUAUUGAAACAGUGCAAGGAUACGUUACUAAUGACUGUAAUAUUAGGGGGAAAAAAAUAAAUGCUAGAUGUUGAUGGGUGCGGGUGCCUUC
Molecule: long non-coding RNA, 690 nt
Filed under: Numida meleagris (helmeted guineafowl)
Lineage: Eukaryota; Metazoa; Chordata; Aves; Galliformes; Numididae
Description: lncRNA (ENSNMEG00000009054.1)
Source: RNAcentral